Molecule: unclassified non-coding RNA, 233 nt
Filed under: Hevea brasiliensis (rubber tree)
Lineage: Eukaryota; Viridiplantae; Streptophyta; Magnoliopsida; Malpighiales; Euphorbiaceae
Source: RNAcentral
UCUUCUUGUUCCAUAGGAAGGCUGCACUUGCUGUAAUUACUAUAGCAGCUGCUAUAAACAACAUGUUGAAUAAAGCCCUUGUGUGGUAUGGGAAUACCUGGUUAGUACCAUGGUCCAUAGGGUAAACAUAGUAUUGGUAAAGAAGUCCCACAAAUAGAAGGUACAAAGCAAAUGAAGACGAUAUUAUAGCUGCAAGCCAGAGCCAAUUGUUCUGGCCUAAAAUGGGGGUUAUG